This is a long non-coding RNA of Polyodon spathula (Mississippi paddlefish), 1223 nucleotides long. RefSeq lists it as uncharacterized. The record is from RefSeq and is a predicted model, not a curated record. Lineage: Eukaryota; Metazoa; Chordata; Actinopteri; Acipenseriformes; Polyodontidae. The transcript is spliced from 2 exons.
UUUUUUUUUUUUUUUUUUUAAAUGAAGUGUUUUUAAAAACGACAAAAAAAGAGACUGUUCUGUUCUUGUUUUUUGUAUAUGUCGGGACAUUUUCAUGUGUUCUCUUGAUUCAUCGCUCCCCUUUUUGUGUUUUGAUUGUGUGUGUGCUCAUGCCUGUUCAGUGUACAAAUAUCUAAAUACAGGAUUAAUACCCCACUUCGCCCCCAGAGGGCUCCGGGAGCACAGAGGAGGACACGGCUCUGGCAAUAAUGAAAAAACAAAACAAAAAAAAAAUCUUAUCACCGAAGCCAAAACGCAGCGAGAGAGAGAAACGAGAUUCGAUGCAGGACGAUCUGAAUUCAGCCACACAGUGCAAUGGAGGGAAACCGGCAAGAUGCUUCAACCUGACAGGAUAUUGAGGCUCCUGUAGCCCCACUGCGCCCCCUUGUGUGUUGUCGUGGGCGCUGCCUCCUGUCCUCCGUCUCCCUGCUAGGGGGCGCUCUUCUGCUGCAGCUGAAAGGUGGAUUGAGAGGUUCCUCUACCCCCCCCCCCUCACAGUUUCACUGCUGUGUUGAAGUCCGGUCUGACUGCUCCCACCAGCUGGGUUAUGGAAGACACAGAAGACUCCAGUCUUGCAGGUUGGGGAGCGGGGAGCGGGGCAGGGGGGUUCCAGGAUGAGAUCCGGCAACGCCAGACUCCUCCGGGCAUGGAAGGAAGCCGGGAUGGGGCGGUUUGGAAUGGUUUCCUGAACUCAGGAUGUUUUCCGUGGCAGGAGGCGGGGCAUUCUUGCAGCUGAUUCCUGAAGGCUCUGGGAUGGUCACAGGAACUGUCAAUCAAAAACAGCUGUUUUUAGAAAAAACUUUUUUUUUUUUUUUUUUUUUGAGAACUUUUCCAGAGGUUUCUAAAUUCAAGAUGAUUGCAGAAAUCCUUUUUUAACGCAGUGGGGACAGCAGCGUGUUGUGUUUCUGCGCUCGCCAGGCACUCCCGUGUCCCGGGUUCAUCUCCUAGGAGCUGCGCUGCGGCUCUGCACUGCGCUUCAGAGAGCAGAGCUCGGGAGACGCAGCCCGUGCGUUUUCCUCUCUCUGUGACGCAGUCGUCGGGACGUGGGUGUUGGGAUUGCAAACCUUUUUCGAGGAUUUUUCAUUGUAUUGUAACUUAUUUUGCCUGUACAAAGUGUUGAAUAUUUAUUACCCCUGUACAUAAUUCCUUAUUUUUAUAUAUGAAUAAAAAGUUCCAGUCACUCA